AGUGAACGCUGGCGGUAGGCCUAACACAUGCAAGUCGAGCGGCAGCACAGUAAGAGCUUGCUCUUACGGGUGGCGAGUGGCGGACGGGUGAGGAAUACAUCGGAAUCUACUUUUUCGUGGGGGAUAACGUAGGGAAACUUACGCUAACACCGCAUACGACCUACGGGUGAAAGCAGGGGAUCUUCGGACCUUGCGCGAUUGAAUGAGCCGAUGUCGGAUUAGCUAGUUGGCGGGGUAAAGGCCCACCAAGGCGACGAUCCGUAGCUGGUCUGAGAGGAUGAUCAGCCACACUGGAACUGAGACACGGUCCAGACUCCUACGGGAGGCAGCAGUGGGGAAUAUUGGACAAUGGGCGCAAGCCUGAUCCAGCCAUACCGCGUGGGUGAAGAAGGCCUUCGGGUUGUAAAGCCCUUUUGUUGGGAAAGAAAAGCAGCAGGUUAAUACCCCGCUGUUCUGACGGUACCCAAAGAAUAAGCACCGGCUAACUUCGUG
RNAcentral lists this ribosomal RNA (492 nucleotides) under uncultured bacterium. RNAcentral describes it as "partial 16S ribosomal RNA". It matches the Rfam family "Bacterial small subunit ribosomal RNA", at positions 29 to 507 of the family's 1533-position model. The record is from RNAcentral.